GCCUGGGUGGCUCAGUUGGUUGAGCGUCUGACUUUGGCUCAGGUCAUGAUCUCAUGGUCUGUGAGUUCGAGCCCCGCGUCGGGCU
RNAcentral lists this transfer RNA (85 nucleotides) under Felis catus (domestic cat). It matches the Rfam family "tRNA". Rfam says of the family: Transfer RNA (tRNA) molecules are approximately 80 nucleotides in length. The record is from Rfam by way of RNAcentral. Lineage: Eukaryota; Metazoa; Chordata; Mammalia; Carnivora; Felidae.